UCGAUGUGGCCUCUGCUGUUUCUGUGGUCCACUUGAGCUGUGUGUAUUUUCUUAUCACGUGCCCCUUAGUUUCUGUUUUGUACUUGGAAUGUCUUCAUUGAAAUGUAUCCAAGGGGUACUGAAAAAGGAAGCCAUAACUGGGAGGCAUCCCCAUGUAGUGAGGUCAUCCCCAAGACGUCUGAGCUACUGGUAUUCCCAUCCCCCUCCUGUAAUUAGGGUUGAAGUGAUACCUGCACUUGAUAGUGAGCCUGUGAGGGCCGCCUUGAGCCAUUGUUGGAGCUUCUGUUUUUAUGGAAAUGUCUAUUUAACUCUCAGUCCGGUUUAUUCGAGACCCAGCUUGUGUGAUUUGCUUGACGCUUGUGUGAUUUGCUUGACUGCUGCAAGGCUGUGCGACCCUAGUGCCACCCCAUAGCUUUUGUGGUGGAGACGCUUGCCACCUCUUCGCAGGAAACUUGGCCAUUGUGUACGAUAAUCUCUCUGCUACAACAUUCUUGGGCACCACUUUCCUUCCCUUCUUUUCAAAGUAAAGUAAAAUAAAAUUCAGAAAAGUACACAAUAUAAUAACAUAUUUCCACCACCCCAAAUUAACAUUUGGCAGUUUCAAAUAAAUAUUGCUUACCUCCUGUGCUGCAGUGGUUCUCUUUCCUCAUGGAGACUGCAGACACAAUUUGAGCCUUACCUACUCCAAAGGUGUCUUUGGAGUUCCAGUGACACUCAGUGCCUCUGUGGCAUCACUCAUGCAGAACAUGGAAACUGCCUCUGCACAGCUCUAGCCUUCGCAGAAAGCGGGGAGCUUCUCCAGGCCCAGGACUUGCUCUUGCUUGUCUUUCCAUCCACAGGGUCUGGUGCAGGCCCACCCGUGGUAGGUGCUUAGGGAACGUGCAAGUUAGAGUGAAGCAAGCGGUGGAGGCCAGGGAGAGGCGUGUAUCCAGGGAUGUGGAAUGUGAGAGGAGAGAGUGCUGGGGAGCCUACCCCACAUCUGGUCUGACAAUUUGAGGGUUUGAAAGAAAAGCUGUGUUGCAAGAAAUGCUAACUGCUGGACAGGCAUCCCUGGCCCCUUCCUUCAAGCUGAUGUGACUGAACCCAUGUGGAAGGCUGGCCCACUGCGCACUCGGCUUGGGUGGCGGCUUGGGUGGUGGCGAGCAGCCUGCCUGCGGUCUCCGUCCCAGUGAGCAGGCACACUGGUGGCCCUCGGAGCAGACGAGCACUUUCUGCUGUCCUGCUUUACAGCCAGAGAGCAGAAAACUCUGUUCCCUUUAAAUUACAACGAAUGAUCAGCUCCCUUUCUAGCUCUGUUGAGGAAACAGCAUGUUAAACAUCCUAUUCUUCUAGUGUCUGCAUCGCUUUUGUGUGGCGAGCUCCGCAGUUUCACUUUCUAAAUGUCUGGGGUCACAGGCAGUCCUCUUGCUUAGGACUGGUGAAAGAGCAGGGGCCACUCAGCAGUUUAAAACUCUGCUUUAAAAUACGUUUGAAAAUCUAGGUGUCCUGGGACUUUCCUGGCGGUCCAGUGGUUAGGCCUCCACGCUUUCACUGCAGGCAGCACAGGUUCCAUCCCUGGUGGGAGAGCUAAGAUCCUGCAGUGUGGCCAUAGGUUUCCUGUAAAGAUGCAUAUGAAUUCAGUGUUAUGCUGCCCUGCUGAAGGAGACCGAUGCUCUUGGGGUGUCAGGGAAGAGCUUUAUGAAAUUUUCUUAAUUCUUCAGUUAUUGCAAUAAAAAGUGACUCAAGGUCCUGCUCAUCCACUUCUGAAAUACCCAGCCUCCAAGUGCAUGGCAGAUUCCCAAAGAUCGAGACCACAGUAGAUUCGGCUGGUGGUGACUGAGUGUGGGAAUAGCACUGAUCUCUGUGGGUGUUUAAUUAAAAUCCACACUUGAAGGAUGCCAGUGUGUGCUGGGGUGACACUCUGCACAUGUGUUGAUCUAAAGUGAACAGUGGUCCAGCUGGUGUGUUCUGAUCUGUCUGAUGUUUAACUUGUCAUUGGUGGUACCAGACCUUGGGACUGGAAAUCAUCAGCCUGGUGUAGAUUCCCAAGACUCUCGUGGGUUAGUGGGGGUGGUGCUCCCCAUGGUCUGAGCUGACACUUUCCAUUAGAAAUGUGAGCCACAUAAGGAAUUUUAAAUUUUCUAGUAGCCACACUUUAAAAAGUAAAAAGAUUCAGGAAAAAUUAAGUUUAAUAGAUAUUAUUCAACUUAAUAUGUACAAAACAUUAUUUCAACAUGUGAUCAAUGUAAAAGAUACAAUUAAAGAGAUAUUUUUGCCUUUU
Molecule: long non-coding RNA, 2260 nt
Organism: Aethalodelphis obliquidens (Pacific white-sided dolphin)
Lineage: Eukaryota; Metazoa; Chordata; Mammalia; Artiodactyla; Delphinidae
Exons: 2
Source: RefSeq, a predicted model, not a curated record